AGUUUCUUAAGAACUUAUCUAUUUGUGAUAUAAUCUGAUAAAGUCAGCUAAAUUAUGUCAUUUUUGAAAUGUUACUUGCAGGUUUAUGAAUUUCAUCAGGAAGAGAAAUGUGAAAAAAACUCGGGAGCCAGACUCCAACAAUAGCUGUAGGAAAGCCUUGGUUCCUUCCCAGCAGUCUUCACCAUUCUUGGCAGCCAACAGCAAGUCGUCCACGUAUUGUAGCAACCAGCAUCUGAACUUCUCUGGCUGGAAGGAGUCCAGGUCGGAAGCCAAGGCUUCCCCAAAGAUGGUUAGGGAAUUCUUAAAUCCUGCGGGAGGAGUCCAGUACUCGCCAGAAGGGGUGGAUACAAUCUAGGAGGUCUGGCUGAGGUGGAAUCCUGAGGGCAUUGACCAGAGGUCUCCAUCGCUGGGAUCGGAGCCUGCCAUAAAGGUGGCUCUACGAUCUCCAGGAGAGCUGGUAGAGGAGCAGCGGCUGUUGCAGGAACUCCACGUGACCCUGGAUUGGACAUUAAAGUGGCCACUGGUCCUGGUGAAGCACUGGGCGGUGGGCACGUCAUGAUCCAGUAUAGGGGAGGGGGCAAGGCAUCCCCAGCCAAACCCUGAAGAAUUUCUUUUUUAUCAUUAGUCAAUUUUUGAGCUGUUAAUAUUGCUCCUUUCCCUAUCUUGAUAUACAAUCUCAUCUAAGGGGGGCGGGGCGGGGGGUCUUGAGGUAAUCCUAGCCAUGAGUCAAUAUAUGGAAUUGAUCUGGAUAUCCCGGCUCUCCUGUGACUACUGUAUAGACUGC
Molecule: long non-coding RNA, 784 nt
Filed under: Capra hircus (goat)
Lineage: Eukaryota; Metazoa; Chordata; Mammalia; Artiodactyla; Bovidae
Description: lncRNA (ENSCHIG00000004316.1)
Source: RNAcentral